This 900-nucleotide long non-coding RNA is filed under the name Dermacentor andersoni. Its description in RNAcentral is "uncharacterized LOC126548461". Lineage: Eukaryota; Metazoa; Arthropoda; Arachnida; Ixodida; Ixodidae. The record is from RNAcentral.
CUGUUAAGAGGAGUGCCAUGGCGGUUUUUGUGCAGCGUUGGCAUCGGCAGCCAGUGGAAUAUGAUGGCGUGGUUGGCAUUGAAUGUCAACCAGAGAACAGCCAGAAAAACGGAGAACACCCUUGUUGUCCAUUUGAUGUUAUCCAUGUGCCUCAGUUACUUAUCGAAAGAUGAUCGAUUUGCUUGAAAUUUGGCCAUCAUACAGACCAGUCUUUCCUGAAGAAAUUUAAAACUUCAUAAUUCUCCUGCUCCAUAGGUGGUGCCCUCAGAAUUCUUGUGAACUUCCUCCUGCUGCCAUUGUAACACAUCUAACAUCAGGCAGUUUUGUUUGCUCACUGUUCAUACUAUUCACUUGCCUCCUUUAUUUUCAGAAAGAUAGUUUUGCAGGUUACUAACCCUACUAUACUUAAUCUAGGCAGUAUGGCUGACCGCCUAAUUCACGGUCCCAACAUUUUAGUCAUAGACACUGUAUAGAUGAUUAAUUUUAAUACAUCUAGAUUUACCAGCUAAAAUAAUAUUCCAAUGAUUUGUACAAAGUGUGGUAAGCAGAAUAAACAAUGCUAUUUUCAGCCAUAAAAUUUUAAUGACUCACCAUUUCACAUCAAAACUUCUAAUCCACAUGCCUAACAAGUUUAAAACGAUUCCUAAAAAACAUAUCUCGUAAUUUGUCUUAAAUUUUGUAUUGUGGUCCAUUUCUAUAUUUCACUGUUCCUGAUACUUUUCUCAAUUAGCUUUCUUGUGCUCCUAACUGUAAUUAUGUAAAUUACCACUUUGUUAAGCUGUUAUUUAUGUUUUAAGAGCCAUUACAACAAGAGGUGCAGUGCUUCAUUGUGGGAACUCUCUAUAUGUUUGUUGCCAUCUGCUGUAUCAUAUUUGAAUUCAAUAAAUCAAUCUAUUGGCA